CCUACGGGUGUCAGCAGUAGGGAAUUUUGCGCAAUGGGCGAAAGUCUGACGCAGCAACGCCGCGUGAACGUGACGCCCUUCGGGGCGUUAAGCUUUGUUAGUGGGGACGAAAGAUGACGGUACCAUCAGAGGAAGCACCGGCUAACACCGUGCCAGCAGCCGCGGUAAUACGGAGGGGGCAAGCGUAGUCCGAGAUCAUUGGGUGUAAGGGGUUCGUAGGCGGUAGGUAAAGUCUGGUGUUAAAUGCAGAAGCUAAAGUUCUGUUUGGCACUGGAUACUGGCAAGCUAGAAUGCGGUAGAGGUAAAGGGAAUGCCUGGUGUAGCGGUGAAAUGCAUAGAUAUCAGGAAGAACAUCGAUGGCGUAAGCGCUUUACUGGGCCGUGAUUGACGCUGAGGAACGAAAGCCAGUGUAGCAAAUGGGAUUAGAUACCCCAGUAGUC
This 440-nucleotide ribosomal RNA is filed under the name uncultured bacterium. Its description in RNAcentral is "partial 16S ribosomal RNA". It matches the Rfam family "Bacterial small subunit ribosomal RNA", at positions 338 to 795 of the family's 1533-position model. The record is from RNAcentral.